GCACCGCCUUGCGCAGCGGCUCGAGGUGCGUGGAGCCGCAGCCGUCGUUGAUGUUCAGCCCGUCGGGGCUGGCGUGGAUCGCGACCACGGUGGCGCC
Molecule: transfer RNA, 97 nt
Filed under: Nocardioides marinisabuli
Lineage: Bacteria; Bacillati; Actinomycetota; Actinomycetes; Propionibacteriales; Nocardioidaceae
Description: tRNA-Cys(gca)
Source: RNAcentral